AUUUCUAGUGGGUCGUAUU
RNAcentral lists this small nuclear RNA (19 nucleotides) under Arabidopsis thaliana (thale cress). Its description in RNAcentral is "snRNA_17020". The record is from RNAcentral. Lineage: Eukaryota; Viridiplantae; Streptophyta; Magnoliopsida; Brassicales; Brassicaceae.